RNAcentral lists this ribosomal RNA (561 nucleotides) under Candidatus Thalassarchaeaceae archaeon. Its description in RNAcentral is "bacterial SSU rRNA". It matches the Rfam family "Archaeal small subunit ribosomal RNA", at positions 1 to 623 of the family's 1478-position model. Lineage: Archaea; Methanobacteriati; Thermoplasmatota; Candidatus Poseidoniia; Candidatus Poseidoniales; Candidatus Thalassarchaeaceae. The record is from RNAcentral.
ACUCCGGUUGAUCCUGCCGGACCCGACUGCUAUCGAAGUGGGACUAAGCCAUGUUAGUCGAACGCCUUUCAACUAUGUGAUUGGCGUGGCGUACGGCUCAGUAACACGUUGUUAACCUACCCUGAAGACGUGGAUAACCCCGGGAAACUGNNNNNNNNNNUCCGAUCAGGUUGUUGGUGGAGUAAUAGCCCACCAAGCCUGUAACCGGUAUGGGCUUUGAGAGAAGGAGCCCGGAGAUGGACACUGAGAAAAGAGUCCAGGUCCUACGGGGCGCAGCAGGCGCGAAACCUUCGCAAUGCACGAAAGUGCGACGAGGCUACUUCGAGUGCUAUCCGCUGAGGAUAGCUUUUGUCAGGUGUAAAAAGCCUGAAGAAUAAGGGGAGGGCAAGUCUGGUGUCAGCCGCCGCGGUAAUACCAGCUCCCCGAGUGGUCGGGAUGAUUAUUGGGCCUAAAGCAUCCGUAGCCUGCUCCGCAGGUCUUCUGUUAAAUUCAACGGCUUAACCGUUGAGCUGCAGGAGAUACCACGGGGCUAGGAGGCGGAAGAGGUAGACGGUACUCCAU